Long non-coding RNA from Diachasmimorpha longicaudata, 1866 nucleotides. RefSeq lists it as uncharacterized. The transcript is spliced from 3 exons. The record is from RefSeq and is a predicted model, not a curated record. Lineage: Eukaryota; Metazoa; Arthropoda; Insecta; Hymenoptera; Braconidae.
CUGUACAUGUGGACCCAGCGCCACAUGUACAGCCUAGCUUUUUAGAAUUUUAGAAUUUUCAAACGGUGCUCUCACCGUUUGAAAAUUCUGUGUACAGUUGAUCAUUUGUACAGUUGAACAAGUACGAACGGAGCCCCCCCGCUUGGCCGAUAUGCAGAUACCCCAGUAGGACUCGUGGCGCCCCGUCUCCUCGGGGGUGAAAUCGUGUCGGUAACGUGGAGAAACUGGCGUCAGUCAAACCCCCAGAACUGAGCCUCUACUUUGGUCUAUUCUCUUUGCUGUCUACUGUCGCGUAGACCGCUACAGCGCUACUUAUCAUAUAGGUUCCCUAUGACUUUCAUGUCAUUACUAGAUUUAGCCUCUUGCGUUCAAAUAUGAUACUCAAUAAUUUCAAGUUUUGAGAAAAAGUCAAACCUUUGUAUUGUUUUAAAUACUUUUGAAGAUAAAAAAACAUAUCCUCUUGAAAAUGGAGUUUCUAAAUGUAAUUUGAGUCCCACAUCAAACCGUUCAAGUCGUAAAACCUUUUCUCGGAGACAGUCUGCUUUCUCCGAGAAAAACACAAGUAUUUUCUCUCUAUCUCCCUCUUUAAAAUCCACAUGUGAGGCCCCUUUGUUAAAAUCAUAUGUCCCCGGAGACAAAGCUGAGUAAGCCCAGAGGAUCGUGGGGGUGUAGAGCCAACCCCCUAACUGAGCUCAAGGCCACGAUUGGUCUCCUACUCCUAUUUGUGAAACAAGCCCUUCGUCCUGACUCUUAAUCUAAAAUUGAAGAAUGAUUGUAAGGCAGUUCGACUUCAGACACCGAAAAGUUGUGAAGCAGAGUGGUUUUGCACUCGACUAAGGUAUGAUUUAGGGAGGUAAUCUCAAACUUUGAUGUCGCCGACAAGAAAACAGGGGACAAGUACCUCCGGAAGCCGUGCGCGGCGCUGUACACCGUCUUCUCCUCUAAGGUAUGAUUCAGCCAGGUAAUCUCAAGUGAAAAACAGGGGACAAGGUCUCGCAAGCGCCACGAGGGCGCGCGGCGAUCACUUUCACCUUCCCCUUAACUCCUGGUCAUCCCCACUCUUCUAAGCUGUUCGGCGCAGAGAUUAUUUCUUAAAAUGCAAAAUGAUUUUAAAGAGUACGGAAAAAUGUGAAAAAAUUCUUUACAAGGAAGAAAAUAAAGGAAAAACACAAAAAUAAUGAGAAUCAUUGUUAUUUUUUGUUUAAGUUCCUAUCUCUUUCUCCAUGAUUUUCCCACUCAUUCCCGCGAAUUAGUGAACUAUUUCAUAAAGAAAUAUAGAAUAAUCUAUUUUUUUUAUUGAUUACGAAUAAUGGGAUACUAGUAAUAUUCAAAAUAAUGUAAGUAAAUUCAUUGAUUCACCCAUAAACCAAAAUGUUUUUUCACGAAGGGGUGUUGGAGUGUGGGGAGAUUUGUUUACAAUUCGCGAUUACCCAUUGGUUUAUCCUAUCGAGACAUUUAGGAAUCGAUUUACAGAUCGUGUGCUAAUCGAAUCUGUGAAAAUGGUGAAAUCGUGUUCAAUUGGGAAUUGUAAAAACUCAUCGUGGGACAGUUAUCGGUUUAUGUUUUUCACGUAGAAUGUAUGAAGUGAUGAAUAGAUUCUUUAAAAAAUUACCAUUCAUCCUUUUCCUAUCCAUGUUUUUCUUUAUAAUUUUCCGAUGUGCAUGUCAACCCGUUUUUGGGAGAAAUUGCAAAAAAAAAUUGAGCGCCUUCGCCGAGAUUUGAACGCUCCACCGUAGAAAUUGUCGAGUAGUGGGGACGAAACGCGCAUGAGGAGAAGACGGUGUACAGCGCCGCGCACGGCUUCCGGAGGUACUUGUCCCCUGUUUUCUUGUCGGCGACAUCAAAGUUUGAGAUUACCUCCCUAAA